CUUUCAUGUGAAGUGAAAUGGCUGUAGCCUAAUGUCCUUCUGAAAUCAAGAGACACAUCUUCACUUUCCAGACUGGGACCAGACUUUUGUGCCACGUUGUGACAUGCACACAUGCACACACAGGAAAGGACUUGGCUUGUGCCCACAUGCCUUUCUUCAGGGACAAGUGGGAAUGGACAUAAGGAGCGUCUCAUCCUUACGUGGCCUCCUUUGUCUUCCUCCUUCCUGGCCAAGACGGUGAUUUACUGCCCAAAGACAAGUCCAUCUGAAGCAAGAACUGACUAUCGAGGACUCUGUAGUGACUGAUAAACUGGGAAGAGAAAAUUGGACCAGAGACUUCAAGGCAGCUCUCAGACAAGAAUAUUCCAGUGCCAGAGAGAAAGACAUUAAAAAUGAAGAGACAUGCAGAGAGUGCACCAUGCCAUCGUGGAGACAGACUGAAGUGACACAACUGUUAGUCAAAGAGGAUUAAGGACUUCCAGAAGCCACCAAAGGAAGGAGACAUUGGUUCUACUCAAGUCAAGGCAAGUCAUCUGACCUUCACCAAGAAAGUCCAGCAUCCAGGAAAGGAAAUUGUAUGUUUGGAUAUGUGAAGAAGCAGAACUGUCUAGAGACUUGCUCAAGUGGAAGUCACCUCUCACACCUGCCCUAUGCAGUCAGGCCUUCUGUGCACACAAUCAAUUGCCUGGAUUAAUGUCACAGGAAAUCCACUCUGUGUGUAUUUUUCUUUGUGUCAUAUUUCUGCAUUGUAACCUGAAGCUCCAGAAAUGUUUCCUGUAAGGACAGCAGACUCCACCUUCUGGGGCCAGACAGCUAGCACAAAUUUUUCUCAUUCUUGACUCUGGAUAAUCCAGUCCUAUUCCACCAGCACUACCCUCCACCCAGUACCGUGGCCACAUUGUGAAUAUACAUGGUCAUUUACUGUUAGUGUCAAGAGAGCGAGUCUACACUGGGGUCGAGUAAUUUGGUCCCGUGUAAGAGUUCAUUAAGUUGGCAGGGAAAGAAUGGCUUAGUCACUCUGAUUGCUUUAGAAUUACUGGAGUUUCACAAGUGGAAGAGGGGUGUGUGUGUGUGUGUGUGUGUGUGUGUGUGUGUCCAGACAAAUUUCUCAAACAACCUCAUUUAAUAAGAAGAAUAAAUCUUUUAAAAGACUUUUCAA
This 1159-nucleotide long non-coding RNA is filed under the name Mus musculus (house mouse). Its description in RNAcentral is "predicted gene, 30211". The record is from RNAcentral. Lineage: Eukaryota; Metazoa; Chordata; Mammalia; Rodentia; Muridae.